GGAAGCAGUCACAUUGGGGUAUGGCUACAACCUGACAGAGCUAUGGUAACCCCUUUAAAAGCGUGUUUAUUCUUUUCAAAUAGCAGAAAGAAUGUUCAGAGAGAACAUUAGGAGAGAGAAUGUUCAGAAUUGCUCUCCCAUGACUUAUUGAGGUUUUGUCCCCAAAGGCUUCUGUUUCCCUCUCUUUGUGUUGUGUAGAGGCUGAUGCAAUUCCUCUUGUAAUAGAGAUAUCUCAUGGUGCUCCAGAAGCAGGUCUCUCUGCAAUGCAAUCAAUGUUUACAACCUCACCUGCAAUAACUGUUUGGAAAACUGCAUUGAUGUUCUGUUUAGUAACAAGAUUACCUUCUUAAUGGACCUCCUGAUACACCAGUUGACGGUUUAUGUUCCAGAUGAAAAUAAUACUAUUUUGGGAAGAAAUACAAAUAAACAAGUUUUUGAAGGCUUGACAACUGGACUUCUCAAAGUCAGUGCUGUGGUUUUGGGCUGCCUGAUUGCCAAUCGACCGGAUGGAAACUGCCAGCCAGCUAUCCCAAAAAUACCAACACAGGAAAUGA
RNAcentral lists this small RNA (554 nucleotides) under Pongo abelii (Sumatran orangutan). RNAcentral describes it as "processed transcript". Lineage: Eukaryota; Metazoa; Chordata; Mammalia; Primates; Hominidae. The record is from RNAcentral.